This 334-nucleotide ribosomal RNA is filed under the name uncultured Bacillota bacterium. Its description in RNAcentral is "bacterial SSU rRNA". It matches the Rfam family "Bacterial small subunit ribosomal RNA", at positions 28 to 351 of the family's 1533-position model. The record is from RNAcentral. Lineage: Bacteria; Bacillati; Bacillota.
GACGAACGCUGGCGGCGUGCCUAACACAUGCAAGUCGAGCGGGGUAUGUGGAGCAGCUUGCUGCACCAUAUACCUAGCGGCGGACGGGUGAGUAACGCGUGAGUAACCUACCUUGUACUGGGGGAUAACAGCCGGAAACGGCUGCUAAUACCGCAUAAGACCACAUUGCCGCAUGGCGAAGUGGUCAAAGGGCUUAACCGGUACAAGAUGGGCUCGCGUCCCAUUAGCUAGUUGGUGAGGUAACGGCUCACCAAGGCGACGAUGGGUAGCCGGCCUGAGAGGGUGUACGGCCACACUGGGACUGAGACACGGCCCAGACUCCUACGGGUGGCAG